Molecule: ribosomal RNA, 468 nt
Filed under: uncultured bacterium
Lineage: Bacteria
Description: bacterial SSU rRNA
Rfam family: Bacterial small subunit ribosomal RNA
Source: RNAcentral
UGCCCAGACUCCUACGGGAGGCAGCAGUGAGGAAUAUUGGUCAAUGGCCGGAAGGCUGAACCAGCCAAGCCGCGUGAAGGACGAAGGUGCCAAGCAUUGUAAACUUCUUUUGUCAAGGGACAAAAUCAGGCUCGAGAGCCUGACCGAGGGUACUUGAAGAAAAAGCAUCGGCUAACUCCGUGCCAGCAGCCGCGGUAAUACGGGGGAUGCAAGCGUUAUCCGGAUUUAUUGGGUUUAAAGGGUGCGUAGGCUGUGAGGUAAGUCAGCGGUGAAAUGCCCCCGCUCAACGGGGUGAAGUGCCAUUGAUACUGCCUUGCUGGAAUGCGGAUGCCGUGGGAGGAAUGUGUGGUGUAGCGGUGAAAUGCAUAGAUAUCACACAGAACACCGAUUGCGAAGGCAGCAUACCGGCGCCCAACUGACGCUGAAGCACGAAAGCGUGGGUAUCGAACAGGAUUAGAUACCCGAGUA